Molecule: ribosomal RNA, 224 nt
Filed under: Staphylococcus epidermidis
Lineage: Bacteria; Bacillati; Bacillota; Bacilli; Caryophanales; Staphylococcaceae
Description: partial 16S ribosomal RNA
Rfam family: Bacterial small subunit ribosomal RNA
Source: RNAcentral
GGGGUUUCCGCCCCUUAGUGCUGCAGCUAACGCAUUAAGCACUCCGCCUGGGGAGUACGACCGCAAGGUUGAAACUCAAAGGAAUUGACGGGGACCCGCACACGCGGUGGAGCAUGUGGUUUAAUUCGAAGCAACGCGAAGAACCUUACCAAAUCUUGACAUCCUCUGACCCCUCUAGAGAUAGAGUUUUCCCCUUCGGGGGACAGAGUGACAGGUGGUGCAUG